AGAAAUACACAGGAUAUUGAAAGAAACACUGAGAUUACAAAGUCCUUAAGGUGAAUCGGUUUUUUUAUAUGCUUUAUUCUUUUUAUUUUGUUUUUAAGAAAUAAUACGAAAAAGGGUGAGGGGUUUACCUCCAAAACUUUACCGAUGAAGCCCAUGUUCGCCGCGCUCAAAUCGAAGGUCCGGUGGAGGGCUGAAGCUCGUGGCGAAGGCGUGUUGGGCGGCGGUGCGAGGACGCUAGCGGUGAAACCCUAGCAGAGCACCAGAGAAGCCUUUGUUUUUUUAUUUUUUUUCUUUCCUUCGGUUUCAAAAGAAUUUGAAGGGCAAAAUCUGUUUUAAAUAACAGACCAAAAUGACGUCGUUUUAGCUAGGUGUGACCUGCGCGGUGACCCGACCCGAAGGGGAGGAUCCGCGCGCUCUGAUGUUAC
This 425-nucleotide long non-coding RNA is filed under the name Gossypium raimondii (Peruvian cotton). Its description in RNAcentral is "long non-coding RNA (GRAI_LNC004326)". The record is from RNAcentral. Lineage: Eukaryota; Viridiplantae; Streptophyta; Magnoliopsida; Malvales; Malvaceae.